This 497-nucleotide ribosomal RNA is filed under the name uncultured bacterium. Its description in RNAcentral is "bacterial SSU rRNA". It matches the Rfam family "Bacterial small subunit ribosomal RNA", at positions 21 to 507 of the family's 1533-position model. The record is from RNAcentral.
GGCUCAGAUUGAACGCUGGCGGCAUGCCUUACACAUGCAAGUCGAACGGCAGCAUGGAAGAGCUUGCUCUUCUGAUGGCGAGUGGCGAACGGGUGAGUAAAGCAUCGGAACGUACCGUGUAGUGGGGGAUAACGUAGCGAAAGUUACGCUAAUACCGCAUACGCACUGAGGUGGAAAGCAGGGGAUCGCAAGACCUUGCGCUAUACGAGCGGCCGAUGUCAGAUUAGGUAGUUGGUGGGGUAAAGGCCCACCAAGCCAACGAUCUGUAGCUGGUCUGAGAGGACGACCAGCCACACUGGGACUGAGACACGGCCCAGACUCCUACGGGAGGCAGCAGUGGGGAAUUUUGGACAAUGGGCGCAAGCCUGAUCCAGCAAUGCCGCGUGCAGGAAGAAGGCCUUCGGGUUGUAAACUGCUUUUGUACGGAACGAAAAAGUCCGGGUUAAUACCCUGGGCCCAUGACGGUACCGUAAGAAUAAGCACCGGCUAACUACGUG